Molecule: ribosomal RNA, 253 nt
Filed under: uncultured bacterium
Lineage: Bacteria
Description: partial 16S ribosomal RNA
Rfam family: Bacterial small subunit ribosomal RNA
Source: RNAcentral
UACGGAGGAUGCAAGCGUUAUCCGGAAUGAUUGGGCGUAAAGCGUCCGCAGGUGGCUGUGUAAGUCUGCUGUUAAAGAGUCUAGCUCAACUAGAUACAAGCAGUGGAAACUACACGGCUAGAGUACGUUCGGGGCAGAGGGAAUUCCUGGUGUAGCGGUGAAGUGCGUAGAGAUCAGGAAGAACACCGGUGGCGAAGGCGGCAUCCUGGACCAUAACUGACACUGAUAAGCGAAAGCCAGGGGAGCAAACGGG